Molecule: ribosomal RNA, 301 nt
Filed under: uncultured bacterium
Lineage: Bacteria
Description: partial 16S ribosomal RNA
Rfam family: Bacterial small subunit ribosomal RNA
Source: RNAcentral
CAGCCGCCACGGUAAUACGUAGGUCCCGAGCGUUGUCCGGAUUUAUUGGGCGUAAAGCGAGCGCAGGCGGUUAGAUAAGUCUGAAGUUAAAGGCUGUGGCUUAACCAUAGUACGCUUUGGAAACUGUUUAACUUGAGUGCAGAAGGGGAGAGCGGAAUUCCAUGUGUAGCGGUGAAAUGCGUAGAUAUGUGGAGGAACACCGGUGGCGAAAGCGGCUCUCUGGUCUGUAACUGACGCUGAGGCUCGAAAGCGUGGGGAGCAAACAGGAUUAGAUACCCCAGUAGUCCCUGUCUCUUAUACA